CCCAGGGGAAAGGCUUUCAGCACCUUAUCCAAUCCCCUCCCGUUGGUCUCGAAGUAAGCUGAGCUGGGUAAAACAAAUCAAGAACGAAGACCAGGGGCCUUUGGCAUGUAGUUGCAGGACUCAUGAUUCUUUUCGCGGGUCAGGGAUUCACUCUGAUAGUAACCCUCAACGAAUUAUAAGGUAUAUAAGGAGUAACUGUAGGAUUUAUAAGGUAUAUAAAGAGUAACUGUAGGAUGCAUUGCAUUCAAGACAUAUCCAAACAUUCCAGACUCUCUUCUUAUAUCUAUGCUCUAGUCAUAGGGUUGACCAACUCACUGCACUUACUCUAUCUAACCCUUUUGGCGCUCUCAUAGUCUAAUAACCGAUGGAUCAAAGGUCGAGGUGCGAGACUAUUCCUAUUUGUUUAACAUACAUAGUUUCCUGUAUGAAAGAAAAGCCAAAGAAAGAAUGUUACUUCAUUAUAGAUUCACCAAUCCAGCCCGCUCUCAAUGACUUGGAAUAUAGAUCACUGACAAACCCAAAGCAAUGACUUGGAAUAUGGAUCACUUAAAACACACAGCUUAUCAAGCGAAAGCAACUUACACAGCUUAUCAAGCGAAAGAAACGGAAUUCUACGCCGGUGGGCUAGCGCCUUGUUUAUGACCCAUCAGGUAAGCGCAGGACAGCUGACAUUGUUGUUAGUAAGCACCUGCUCUAAUAUGAGGGGAUUGUAAGCACCCGCUCUAAUAUGAGGGAAGUUUGCCUAAUCCAGUAUUCUAUGUAAGAACCAACUCUAGUAUCUCGGAGGGGCGAGGCUAAUUCCGUAUCCCUUACUAUAGAUUAGGAAAUCAUUGAUGUAGUCCCUUCUUCCUUUCCCUUACCCGGCUUUGAUUUAGCACUUUUGUUACAUAAGAGUCUUGCUCAAUGCGACCAUUUCAUCAGGCUCGUACUUGCUGUAACCUAUUAGAUGCCCGGUAGCCCUUCCCUUCUUCUAUUUCUAUGGUGGAUGCUAGCUUUAGGGGGGCUUGCUACCUAGAGACAAGAAAGGAUCAAAGGAAUUCCAGAUUAUAUGCGGGAUUUAAUAUUAACAUGGGAUUCUGUGUUCAAGGCACCGAAUAAGAAGUUCCGGGUUUUGGCUUAACGGAUAAAGGAUAGGAGGGAGUAGCAAUGAAUAGGAAAGAUAAGGUGCUAAGAGCCUGCUAAAGCAAGGAAUGCUUUUUACAUAUUUUCUGAUUCUUCAUGAAUUAGUUAUUCUUCAUGAAUUAGUAAAGUGGUUUUUCUUUCUUCUAUUAUUAUAGAUCUCUUAAUUCUUUCGGGUGAACAAGGUUAGUCUAUGCUCGUAAGUGUGCAAGGCCAGUUCAGUUGGUGAGGCGGGCACUCUCGUUGGUGGAGCAGAAGGGUGUGCUGGUGCUCUCCAAGUAUGUGUUCUAGGGUUUCUUUUGUGUGUGUCAGAAUGAUAAUAGCAUAGAUCGAGUCUCUAGGUCGAUAAGGCCCAGAUCGUAAUAACAGCUUAUGUCCCUAGCCACGACUAAGACUAAGCGGAUUUCCCAACAAGUCCGGUUCUUUCAACUUAGGGUUUCUAAUCUCGCUGCUGCUCCCAAAGCGUUUCGAGUUGCCAGUGCACAUCUUUUGAUUUCUGUGACAAUACAAUCCUGAUUACAGUCAGAGGCGUAAGAGCGCCCCCUUACUGCUACGUAGGCACGUGGAGGAUAUUUGCCGUAGGGAUUCAACAAUCACCUUGCAUUUUAGGCAUUCUUUUCUCUGUCAUGCGCACGCCUUACUUAUUUCGGUGUCUUUUACACCCUUAUUUUCUUGGCUUCAUUGAGACAUCGAAAGCAUACUUUAUAGGAUCUAGGACUGUGUAAGCUGUUACAUUGGAUAGCAUACUGCCUUAUUUUACCUAAAAAACAGGCUAUCUAUUCUAUUCGAGCUUGGACGCAGGCGUGAGCAACAACAAUAAAGCAUGGUCAGGUCAUUCAUUCUGAAAGUAGAAAACCCUCUUUCUUAUUGAAAACCCUCUUUCUUAUUAAUGCUAAACUAAACCCUAUCUAUACUUAGAGCUGAAAUAACCAACAACCAACAUUUAGAAGGACUGUCGAUAGAAGCAAUCAUCCGAGGAACCCUCCCUCACUGUUGGUCCAAUCCUGACCCAAUUGACUAAGUUGCGGGAACUCCCUGAUUAGGAGCGGAUCAGAGAGAGGCAUAAGCUACAUCCGGAGUCUCAGUAAAUAGGAUUUCAAAGAGGUGUGUAAGUAAACUAUAGUAAAGGAGUUCAAUCUGAUCUUUCUUCCCUUGUCUCCCUCUUUAAUUAAGGGGCAUUGACUACCUUACUUUAGCACAACAAUAGAACCUUACUUUAGCACAACAAUAGAUUAGUGGGGGUUUCAUUCUGACUGUUGCUUGGCCCGUUCGAACUAGACUGAUAUAGCGACACUAGUAUCUAUCUAUCCUAGACUGAUAUAGCUACACUAGCAUCUAUCUAUCAAGGAACACUGAGCUAUGCCACGGAUGCAACUUGAACUACCGAGACUGACUGACAAACGAACCCAGCUCUCACAGACCUAGCUAUACUACGGAAUUACUGCCCCAUGCUUUCUAGUGCACUAGGUAGGAGAAGGGGGACCUACAUUGCUAUACCUGAGUUUGACUCAAUGCCCCGUGUCCUUGGACUUUUCUCCCAAGCUUCCUUCUAUGCUGACAGAAGCGGAUAGGCAGGAAACACAGAAUAGGCAAAAUGGCUAUGGACAUACAUGGUAGUAGCAGUCUAUCUUCUAUCCUUAUUGCGCUUCCGCUUCCUUACCCUGAUGGAAUCCUUCUGCUCGAAGCUCUCUCUUCCUAGCACACGGAAGAAGCCAGACCGGGCGAGAGCUCGUUCCAAUCACAAGUCUUACUACGAGUCUAUAGCAAGUCCGAUCAAGCUCUUUCUAUACAUGUGGGAGAGGUAAGCAAGAUCUUGGAUUGAUGUGCCUGAAUCAGGUUUCUCAAUGGUAUACUGACUUGGUUGAAGAGCAACUUCCCUUGUUAAUGUACGAGCUGGAGACUAGAAUCAAGAUGCCCACCAUCAGAUGCUAUAGGAACUGCCAAUACGUAUAUAAAGGAUGCUAUAGGAACUGCCAAUACGUAUAUACUGAUCUGAAGUAUUAAAGGGAUCCCCUAAUGCCCAUAUUAGCGAAAUAUGACUCAAUAGUCACUUUCCUUAGACUUGCCUCUAUGACUCAAUAGUCACUUUCCUUAGACUUGCCUCUAUGGCUUCCCUUACAGGCUUGUCUUCUAGUGGACUGAGAGAGCUCGCUCUAAUCUCAAUUCUCAAUAAAUACCUAACAUACGGAAUUCUUAAUUAACUGUACGAUCUUAGACGGAAUUCUUAAUUGACUGUACGAUCUUAGACGGAAUUCUUAAUUGACUGUACGAUCUUAGAAUGGAUGCAAAGAAUCCACGAUAAGAAAUGUCCCUUAGACUCUCAGAUUGGACUCGUCUUCUUUCGUUCUUCUGAAACUGCAAAGGAUAUCUAAUUCAUUCUAUUCGGAUUCGGGGAUCUUUAGUAAGGUCAACAAAAGGGCUAAGGACUGGAAUAGGCUUGAAACCUACGACCGAAGUAAAGGCUUGCUCAUUUGUGCGCACUGAUUGGUUCCUCGUGGGAAGCAGGCAUUCUAUAAUCCUACGAAAUUCCCACUUGAACUCGCAGAUAUUAGACCAGUAAGAGCGGAUUCCAUACUUUCUUCUGAGUUUUAUUACGGACUUUUUCUUCCCUAAACUGCUGAUGCGGGCGCUUAUUUCUAAAGAACUUCUGCUGUUACUGGAUAGGGUGGUUUAUUGGAAUCAGACUUACCACCGUAGUCGGGCGAGAAAGUGAUUGAUUCAAUAGACGGUUAUCGAGUCUGCAAGAGAUUUCUCAAUUGGGGGCGAAUGCUCUACGGUCGAGUGGGCUAGAUUGGGGGCGAAUGCUCUACGGUCGAGUGGGCUAUCGCUCCCGUUCGCCUCAACUCUUUCUUUGGUUGGACAUCGGUUCCUCUCACGGGAUACGUUCAAGUCCUUCCGUUUCAUCCCAUCUCCUCCUAUCCUGAUGGUCUCGCAUCUUCAUAUCCUCUUUCCAUAGAAAAAGUACCAUCUCAUAAGGAAAGCCGCCCUAGCUUGGUUUCGGGGGAGAAGGACUCAGGAUCAGUCUAAUGCCAAGAGCGAGGAGCAAAGAAUUAUUUGCUGUAGUUUUUGAGUUGCCUGCCCUCGGGCGGAAUUGCUUACUCUAUAAAUUCCUUAUGAUUAAUUGCUUACUCUAUAAAUUCCUUAUUCUGGUAAGAGUAGCCAUCCUAGCAAGACUCAAAAAGAUCUCCCCUAGCGGUAAGGAUUGAAGCUAGAUUCUCUAUACCAACGCAUUCUAUCCAUCAAAGAAGGAAAGUAGAAUCGCAAGGCAAGGGGACGAAACAUAGCUAUGAAAAGCAAUCCCCAAAAUCUCGCUGGCAGGUAAGGAAAAAACGCUUCUUCAACGGAAACUGCCUUCCUUUUUCACUAGUUAACCUCUGAUUCUUUUGAUUCUUGAUUACUUCUGUUUCCGUUUACCUGAGCGAAUUCUUGACUUGCUUGCGAGCUAACUUGGCUUGGUGCCAGGGCUAAUGGUUGGUUCUGUCUACUAGAUUUAGGAUGAUUGAUAGGCUCACUCCCUUUGAGCUAACAGCCAAGAAGAGUUCACAUUCCACUUCCUUACGUGCCCCCGAGAGGAAUCGGACUUUCUGCUUAUUUAAUCAUUCACAUAGAUUGCCUAGUAGUAGAGUUCAAUUCGUUCGCUUUAGAAAGGGUCUUUCUAACCUUGGGCUUGAGCUUGGUAUUUCCUUAUUAUAGAUAAGGAACGCACAGGUUAUCGAAUUAAUGGACUAGCUUCACUAAGACUAAGUCGAUAUUCUAUAGCCACUGCCUUACCAUUCCAUUCAUU
Molecule: long non-coding RNA, 4903 nt
Filed under: Musa acuminata (dwarf banana)
Lineage: Eukaryota; Viridiplantae; Streptophyta; Magnoliopsida; Zingiberales; Musaceae
Description: long non-coding RNA (MACU_LNC007445)
Source: RNAcentral